GGCAGCCGCGGUAAUUCCAGCUCCAAUAGCGUAUAUUAAAGUUGUUGCAGUUAAAAAGCUCGUAGUUGAAUUUCGAGAUCAAAUUGUUGGUCGUGCCUUGGUACGCACUGGCAUUAUUGGUUUCUCCCUUCUGACGAACCAUGAUGUCAUUAAUUUGGUGUCUUGGGGAAUCAGGACUGUUACUUUGAAAAAAUUAGAGUGUUUAAAGCAGGCUCACGCUUGAAUACAUUAGCAUGGAAUAAUGAAAUAGGACGUUUGAUUCUAUUUUGUUGGUUUCUAGGAUCGACGUAAUGAUUAAUAGGGAUAGUUGGGGGCAUUAGUAUUCAAUUGUCAGAGGUGAAAUUCUUGGAUUUAUUGAAGACUAACUACUGCGAAAGCAUUUGCCAAGGAUGUUUUCAUUAAUCAAGAACGAAAGUUGAGGGGAUCGAAGACGAUCAGAUACCGUCGUAGUCUUAACCAUAAACUAUGCCGACUAGGGAUCGGAUGAUGUUAAUUUUUUAAUGACUCAUUCGGCGCCUUA
This 520-nucleotide unclassified non-coding RNA is filed under the name uncultured Glomus. RNAcentral's name for it is "SSU rRNA". It matches the Rfam family "Eukaryotic small subunit ribosomal RNA", at positions 569 to 1090 of the family's 1831-position model. The record is from RNAcentral. Lineage: Eukaryota; Fungi; Glomeromycota; Glomeromycetes; Glomerales; Glomeraceae.